UACAGAGACUGCAAGCGUUAUUCGGAUUCACUGGGCGUAAAGGGUGCGCAGGCGGCCGGGUGUGUCAGAUGUGAAAUCCCGAGGCUUAACCCCGGAACUGCGUCUGAAACUACUCGGCUAGAGUAUUGGAGAGGGUAACGGAAUUCACGGUGUAGCAGUGAAAUGCGUAGAUAUCGUGAGGAACACCAGAGGCGAAGGCGGUUACCUGGACAAUUACUGACGCUCAGGCACGAAAGCAUGGGGAGCAAAAGGG
This 253-nucleotide ribosomal RNA is filed under the name uncultured bacterium. Its description in RNAcentral is "partial 16S ribosomal RNA". It matches the Rfam family "Bacterial small subunit ribosomal RNA", at positions 524 to 776 of the family's 1533-position model. The record is from RNAcentral.